GUGGACCCACACCCUGGCGUCCAUGAGCUCCGGCCGGGCCGCGAAGAGGGCGGCGUCGCCGUGCACCACGGCCUUGAGCACCAGCGGCAGCUCCUUGGAGAAGACGUAGUAGCGGAAGCCGGCGGCGAGCUCCUGCAGCGGGUUGGGCCCGCUGACGUGGCAGUGCAGGUGCAGCGUCAUCUCCCCUCCGCCCGGCCCGCCGGUGCAGGUCAUCUCCUUCCACUCGGCGAAGACGUCGUCGCGCCGCCACCCCCACCGCCGCAGCUGCUCGCUCGUGAUGGUCUCCGACACCGCCAGCGUCAGGUUCGCCGUGAAGUCGCAGUGGCUCAGCGUGU
RNAcentral lists this long non-coding RNA (335 nucleotides) under Hordeum vulgare. Its description in RNAcentral is "long non-coding RNA (HVUL_LNC006108)". Lineage: Eukaryota; Viridiplantae; Streptophyta; Magnoliopsida; Poales; Poaceae. The record is from RNAcentral.